Molecule: non-coding RNA, 175 nt
Organism: Bombina bombina (fire-bellied toad)
Lineage: Eukaryota; Metazoa; Chordata; Amphibia; Anura; Bombinatoridae
Product: small Cajal body-specific RNA 16
Exons: 1
Source: RefSeq, a predicted model, not a curated record
UGGGUCUCGGGACCGGCUCCUGGGUUCCACAGUCUUAAAAGCUGUGCACUUGUCCCAGACAGCCCAACUCUGACCUAGAGAAAUCCUCCAGGCCAUCCUUUGUAGGCAGCCUGGGCAGUAACAGGUGUGAGCAUCUCUCAGCAUUUCAUGCUCGUGUAUAAUACUGCAUACAAAA